CAAAGUCCCGGCCGAUACCGGCCGACCCUUUCACUGAAAGCGUUGACCUUGAGGGCCCUGCAAGGGUCCCGGGCAGCGUGGACGGUUAACCCUUUGUGAAAACCCCUUGUUGCUUCGGCAGCGCCUCCGACCCAUCGGGGGAUCAGCCUGCCGACGGCACCUCAGGAAACCCUUUAGUGAAAGGAAGCAUUGACAAAGUCUGAGAAUGCAAUCGAAUAAUACAUA
Molecule: unclassified non-coding RNA, 225 nt
Filed under: uncultured fungus
Lineage: Eukaryota; Fungi
Description: sequence contains ITS1
Source: RNAcentral